AGUGAACGCUGGCGGUAGGCCUAACACAUGCAAGUCGAACGGCAGCACAGGAGAGCUUGCUCUCUGGGUGGCGAGUGGCGGACGGGUGAGGAAUACAUCGGAAUCUACUCUGUCGUGGGGGAUAACGUAGGGAAACUUACGCUAAUACCGCAUACGACCUACGGGUGAAAGCAGGGGACCUUCGGGCCUUGCGCGAUUGAAUGAGCCGAUGUCGGAUUAGCUAGUUGGCGGGGUAAAGGCCCACCAAGGCGACGAUCCGUGGCUGGUCUGAGAGGAUGAUCAGCCACACUGGAACUGAGACACGGUCCAGACUCCUACGGGAGGCAGCAGUGGGGAAUAUUGGACAAUGGGCGCAAGCCUGAUCCAGCCAUACCGCGUGGGUGAAGAAGGCCUUCGGGUUGUAAAGCCCUUUUGUUGGGAAAGAGAUCCAGCUGGCUAAUACCCGGUUGGGAUGACGGUACCCAAAGAAUAAGCACCGGCUAACUUCGUGCCAGCCGCCGCAGUAA
RNAcentral lists this ribosomal RNA (506 nucleotides) under uncultured bacterium. RNAcentral describes it as "partial 16S ribosomal RNA". It matches the Rfam family "Bacterial small subunit ribosomal RNA", at positions 29 to 523 of the family's 1533-position model. The record is from RNAcentral.